RNAcentral lists this ribosomal RNA (572 nucleotides) under uncultured bacterium. RNAcentral describes it as "partial 16S ribosomal RNA". It matches the Rfam family "Bacterial small subunit ribosomal RNA", at positions 355 to 914 of the family's 1533-position model. The record is from RNAcentral.
UGGGGAAUAUUGCACAAUGGGCGCAAGCCUGAUGCAGCCAUGCCGCGUGUGUGAAGAAGGCCUUCGGGUUGUAAAGCACUUUCAGCGAGGAGGAAGGUGGUGAGCUUAAUACGCUCAUCAAUUGACGUUACUCGCAGAAGAAGCACCGGCUAACUCCGUGCCAGCAGCCGCGGUAAUACGGAGGGUGCAAGCGUUAAUCGGAAUUACUGGGCGUAAAGCGCACGCAGGCGAUUUGUUAAGUCAGAUGUGAAAUCCCCGGGCUCAACCUGGGAACUGCAUUUGAAACUGGCAAGCUAGAGUCUCGUAGAGGGGGGUAGAAUUCCAGGUGUAGCGGUGAAAUGCGUAGAGAUCUGGAGGAAUACCGGUGGCGAAGGCGGCCCCCCUGGACGAAGACUGACGCUCAGGUGCGAAAGCGUGGGGCAGCAAACAGGAUUAGAUACCCCUGGUAGUCCAGCGCUGUAAAACGAUGUCGAUUUGGAGGUUGUGCCCUUGAGGCGUGGCUUCCGGAGCUAACGCGUUAAAUCGACCGCCUGGGGAGUACGGCCGCAAGGUUAAAACUCAAAUGAAUUGAC